GACGAACGCUGGCGGCGUGCUUAACACAUGCGAGUCGAACGGAAAGGCCCUGCUUUUGUGGGGUGCUCGAGUGGCGAACGGGUGAGUAACACGUGAGUAACCUGCCCUUGACUUUGGGAUAACUUCAGGAAACUGGGGCUAAUACCGGAUAGGAGCUCCUGCUGCAUGGUGGGGGUUGGAAAGUUUCGGCGGUUGGGGAUGGACUCGCGGCUUAUCAGCUUGUUGGUGGGGUAGUGGCUUACCAAGGCUUUGACGGGUAGCCGGCCUGAGAAGGUGACCGGCCACAUUGGGACUGAGAUACGGCCCAGACUCCUACGGGAGGCAGCAGUGGGGAAUAUUGCACAAUGGGCGGAAGCCUGAUGCAGCAACGCCGCGUGCGGGAUGACGGCCUUCGGGUUGUAAACCGCUUUCGCCUGUGACGAAGCGUGAGUGACGGUAAUGGGUAAAGAAGCACCGGCUAACUACGUG
This 468-nucleotide ribosomal RNA is filed under the name uncultured bacterium. RNAcentral's name for it is "partial 16S ribosomal RNA". It matches the Rfam family "Bacterial small subunit ribosomal RNA", at positions 28 to 507 of the family's 1533-position model. The record is from RNAcentral.